CAUCUUCCCUUUAGCAGAAUAAUGCUUUAGAUUUAGAAUCUAAAAUCACCCUA
This 53-nucleotide transfer RNA is filed under the name Loxosceles sp. Gran Canaria 2. RNAcentral describes it as "tRNA-Leu". The record is from RNAcentral. Lineage: Eukaryota; Metazoa; Arthropoda; Arachnida; Araneae; Sicariidae.